This 212-nucleotide long non-coding RNA is filed under the name Brassica rapa (field mustard). Its description in RNAcentral is "long non-coding RNA (BRAP_LNC004378)". Lineage: Eukaryota; Viridiplantae; Streptophyta; Magnoliopsida; Brassicales; Brassicaceae. The record is from RNAcentral.
CUACUUAUUAGGGGGGUCAAACUACUGAAAUUCAACAAUUAAUCAAUAAAUAUUACAAUUUCAUGCCUAAAUUAGCUUAAAUUUCAAAAUUGGUUGUAGCUUAAAUUUCAAAAUUGAUGUGGGCCAACCGAUCCACAUGCUUUCUCUCUACCUCCGCCACUGAUUGGUGUUAUCUAGAUUUUAUUUUAUCUGCAUGCGUUUAGAAAAUAUUU